GCUUACGGCCAUACCACCUUAGGCACGCCCGAUCUCGUCUGAUAUCGGAAGCUAAGCAGGGUCGGGCCUGGUUAGUACUUGGAUGGAUGACCGCCUGGGAAUACCUGGUGCUGUAAGCA
Molecule: ribosomal RNA, 119 nt
Filed under: Gadus morhua (Atlantic cod)
Lineage: Eukaryota; Metazoa; Chordata; Actinopteri; Gadiformes; Gadidae
Source: RNAcentral